CGCGGAGUGGAGCAGUCUGGUAGCUCGUCGGGCUCAUAACCCGAAGGUCGUUGGUUCAAAUCCUUCCUCCGCUA
This 74-nucleotide transfer RNA is filed under the name Lachnospiraceae bacterium oral taxon 500. Its description in RNAcentral is "tRNA-Met". It matches the Rfam family "tRNA". From Rfam's summary of the family: Transfer RNA (tRNA) molecules are approximately 80 nucleotides in length. Their secondary structure includes four short double-helical elements and three loops (D, anti-codon, and T loops). RNAcentral also lists the same sequence under 2 other names. The record is from RNAcentral. Lineage: Bacteria; Bacillati; Bacillota; Clostridia; Lachnospirales; Lachnospiraceae.